Molecule: long non-coding RNA, 700 nt
Organism: Symsagittifera roscoffensis
Lineage: Eukaryota; Metazoa; Xenacoelomorpha; Acoela; Convolutidae
Exons: 3
Source: RefSeq, a predicted model, not a curated record
AUGAUUUUUAACUACCAAUAAACAACCACCUCCAAUUAGUACUAUUUGAGUGAGCGGAGGUUUGAUUGCCGAUUUGAGCUGAAAUCAUUUUUCACAGUAAAGGUUUGAGGUCGACAAGCAAACAAAUCGUUUUUUUAAUCAAUAAAUUAUGACUAAAAGUAGCAACACACGUGAAAAUUGGGCAGUUGUUUUGGGAGCAUCAUUACUUCUGAUGCAGUGUUAUCAUUCAAGAGUUCUUCAAUUGCCAAAACGAGAUUCAAAUUUUAAAUUCUCAGUACCUGCUUGCUAUUGGAAGGACGUUAAUUGCAAAAAUGCACCAACAAAGAAACACUUCGGCAACGAACCAGAUAUUCUUCAGCCAGAAUUAAACCAAUGGGAAUUUUUGCAACCAAGACGGCUUCUGUUCUCGAGGAAGUCACACGAAAACAAAAUGCAAAGGAAUCAAGUUUUCAGUCAUACAGAUUUGAUCGAUCAUCUGCUUUCAAGUCGACAGAGCCAGAUAGGAGAUGAAAACCGACCAAACUACACUCGAUAGAAUCUUACAAGUUCAAGAAAAAUCAGGAAAAAAAUAUCUCAUCGAAGUAAAUCUCGAUCAGAAUGAAAAUUGCAAUGUACAUCACGAUUAAAAAAGAUCUUCAACUUUUUAAAUCAUAUUCUCAAUUUAAGUUGUGAAGGUAAAAUUUUCCAGCUUAAUUGAAUG